Molecule: long non-coding RNA, 315 nt
Organism: Arachis duranensis
Lineage: Eukaryota; Viridiplantae; Streptophyta; Magnoliopsida; Fabales; Fabaceae
Exons: 4
Source: RefSeq, a predicted model, not a curated record
GGCUCAGAAACCAGCAUUUAUUGAAAGAGAGAAGGAAUAUCGAUUUUAGGCUAGGUAGUUUAAGAGAGCUAUUGAUUUUUCAUGGAGUAUAUUUAAUUUUCAGAAGGACCAAGAUGUUAGAGUUAGACUUGGCUAUAAAGUCUUUGAACAGGGCAUACCCAAUAGAGUCAAUUACGAGGAUAAAGGGGACAAGCGGACUCUUGAUGAUAUCAGUGCUUUCCACGCCGAACUAGCAGUGGCAUGAGUAGAACGGUGGUAGAAGAAAAGCUAGGAGUGAAGUUAAAAAAAUCAACGACUCAAGUGCUUGAAUUUUCA